RNAcentral lists this ribosomal RNA (259 nucleotides) under uncultured bacterium. RNAcentral describes it as "partial 16S ribosomal RNA". It matches the Rfam family "Bacterial small subunit ribosomal RNA", at positions 29 to 289 of the family's 1533-position model. The record is from RNAcentral.
ACGAACGCUGGCGGCGUGCUUAACACAUGCAAGUCGAACGGUAAGGCCCUUUCGGGGGUACACGAGUGGCGAACGGGUGAGUAACACGUGGGUAAUCUGCCCUGCACUUCGGGAUAAGCCUGGGAAACCGGGUCUAAUACCGGAUAUGAGCUCCUGCCGCAUGGGUGGGGGUUGGAAAGUUUUUUCGGUGCAGGAUGAGUCCGCGGCCUAUCAGCUUGUUGGUGGGGUAAUGGCCUACCAAGGCGACGACGGGUAGCCG